RNAcentral lists this ribosomal RNA (438 nucleotides) under uncultured bacterium. RNAcentral describes it as "bacterial SSU rRNA". It matches the Rfam family "Bacterial small subunit ribosomal RNA", at positions 340 to 773 of the family's 1533-position model. The record is from RNAcentral.
UACGGGAGGCAGCAGUGGGGAAUAUUGCACAAUGGGCGCAAGCCUGAUGCAGCCAUGCCGCGUGUAUGAAGAAGGCCUUCGGGUUGUAAAGUACUUUCAGUCGUGAGGAAGGUGUUAAGGUUAAUAACCUUAGCAAUUGACGUUAGCGACAGAAGAAGCACCGGCUAACUCCGUGCCAGCAGCCGCGGUAAUCGGAGGGUGCGAGCGUUAAUCGGAAUUACUGGGCGUAAAGGGCACGCAGGCGGUUAAUUAAGUUGGAUGUGAAAUCCCCGGGCUUAACCUGGGAAUGGCAUUCAAGACUGGUUAGCUAGAGUCUUGUAGAGGGGGUAGAAUUCCAUGUGUAGCGGUGAAAUGCGUAGAGAUGUGGAGGAAUACCGGUGGCGAAGGCGGCCCCUGGACAAAGACUGACGCUCAUGUGCGAAAGCGUGGGGAGCGAAA